AUUGGAGGGCAAGUCUGGUGCCAGCAGCCGCGGUAAUUCCAGCUCCAAUAGCGUAUAUUAAAGUUGUUGCGGUUAAAAAGCUCGUAGUUGGAGGUCAGUUGCGGACUGGGUCGGGAGGUCACCGCCCGGUGCUUCCCCUUCAGGUUCCGAACAGCUUCCCCUUGUGGGGGGCCAAGCCGGCUGAUGCGGGGUGCUCUUGACCGAGUGUGCCGCGUGGCCGGCCAGUUCACCUUGAAUAAAUGAGAGUGCUCAAAGCAGGCUACUCUGGAAUACAAUGCCCGAAUGUUAACUGCAUGGAAUGAUGGAAGAUGAUCUCGGUUCCAUUUUGUUGGUGGUGGGAGCCCGAGGUAAUGAUAAAGAGGGACUGUCGGGGGCAUCCGUACUACGACGCGAGAGGUGAAAUUCAGUGACCGUCGUAGGACGAACAACAGCGAAAGCAUUUGCCAAGAAUGUCUUCGUUGAUCAAGAACGAAAGUUAGAGGAUCGAAGGCGAUCAGAUACCGCCCUAGUUCUAACCCUAAACGAUGCUGACUAGCAAUUCGCCGUCGUUAUUCCCAUGACGUGGCGAGACGCCCCCGGGAAACCUCAAGUGUUUGAGUUCCGGGGGUAGUAUGGUUGCAAAAGUGAAACUUAAAGGAAUUGACGGAAGGGCACCACCMGGAGUGGAGCCUGCGGCUUAAUUUGACUCAACACGGGGAACCUGACCAGGCCCGGACACCAGAAGGAUUGACAGAUUAAGAGCUCUUUCUCGAUUU
This 755-nucleotide ribosomal RNA is filed under the name Macrobrachium placidum. RNAcentral's name for it is "bacterial SSU rRNA". It matches the Rfam family "Eukaryotic small subunit ribosomal RNA", at positions 549 to 1279 of the family's 1831-position model. Lineage: Eukaryota; Metazoa; Arthropoda; Malacostraca; Decapoda; Palaemonidae. The record is from RNAcentral.